Molecule: long non-coding RNA, 279 nt
Organism: Thalassophryne amazonica
Lineage: Eukaryota; Metazoa; Chordata; Actinopteri; Batrachoidiformes; Batrachoididae
Exons: 3
Source: RefSeq, a predicted model, not a curated record
AAUCAUCUCUCUCGAUAGGCUCAUCUGCUGUCAAUGAGAUUACAGAGUUGAAGUUGAACCUGAUGACUAUUACCUAUACUGCAGGAACCAGUUCAAAUCCUUGCCUGAAGUCAGAUUAUCUGUCUCUGUCUCAUGCAAGACUACAACAGGGAUAGAGAUUAUACUCAAUCCAUGAGUCUGGGUCCUUGGACAAGAUACUUCACCAACAUUGACCCAGUCCAUCCAUCUGUAAAUGAGUCCUAGUCUUCUCUGGGACCUUGCUGCCAGCCUGCCAAUGCC